AACCCUUUAAAAUGUCAAUUCUAAAAAAGAUUGUAUGCCUCUUAUAGGAUAGACACCGUUUUGGACAGUGAGGACAGAGAGGUUUACAGGACAAUGCCACUGCCUUUUUGGAGCUUACUUUGUUGAGAUUGGGUGGCAGGUGAGGGGCGAGAGGGGGAAGAGGCAGCUGGCUUAUUGCACUUACCCCCAAUGAGAUGUCUUACAUGUGUGUUGAAUAAACAUCAGGGAACUGGGGUGGGUAGGUUAAACAACCAAAGGAUUGUUACAGUUUUGCUUCUUUGUGCAAGAAUGCCUAAGGCUUUACCAGUGCCCUGAGAGCUAUGUGAUAAAGGAUGGUCAAAUUGGCCUUCUAGCUGGGACAAUGAGCUCUUGUCUGACCCAGAAUCUCUUCCUUGGGAGUUACCCCUUCAUUUCUCUUCAUUGUUUUUAGGUUAACACCACAGAAAUGCAGCUGGCCGUUCUAGAACCUCUUUCCAGACAAACUACUUGCAGGCAUUAGGCUUCCUUGAGUUUUUAAGGAAAGCACCAAAGAAGUAAAGUCCCUGGUGGUUACAGACUACAUGGAAGUCCACCUUGCUCCACCGUGAAGGAAUUAGAGGAAGAUCAAUUGACCUCACCUGAGUUGAAUAUCUACCAGGAUUAAGCCAGAUGGGAGAAGGUAAUUGAAAGCCGACUACAGGGAAAGAAGAGAAGCAGAAAAGAAAUAUAUUUAGGAAAUACGGACAAAGAUUGUCUUGGAUGCCAUGAAGAUCAGCUCUUAGGAGAUAUGUGACUUAAUUUUCAUUCUGGUCAGGUGGCCGUAGCUGGCACACAAGUAGAAACAGAUGUUGUGAAGGGUAAGGAGGUAUGUGGUGCCAGUGUCUCAGUUCUGGGAAAAGGAAGCACUUCACAGAGAGUAGGUGCCACCCAUAGGGGCUGUCGUCUGCCAAGUGAAACCAGUUUGGCUGAGAGAGCUAAAAAUAAUUUCCAAGGG
Canis lupus familiaris (dog) is the source of this 973-nucleotide long non-coding RNA. RefSeq lists it as uncharacterized. The transcript is spliced from 5 exons. Lineage: Eukaryota; Metazoa; Chordata; Mammalia; Carnivora; Canidae. The record is from RefSeq and is a predicted model, not a curated record.